This 146-nucleotide ribosomal RNA is filed under the name Salix viminalis (osier). It matches the Rfam family "5.8S ribosomal RNA". Rfam says of the family: 5.8S ribosomal RNA (5.8S rRNA) is a component of the large subunit of the eukaryotic ribosome. Lineage: Eukaryota; Viridiplantae; Streptophyta; Magnoliopsida; Malpighiales; Salicaceae. The record is from RNAcentral.
GACUCUCGCGAAUCGGCUUCGCAUCGAUGAAGAACGUAGCGAAAUGCGAUACUUGGUGUGAAUUGCAGAAUCCCGUGAACCAUCGAGUCUUUGAACGCAAGUUGCGCCCGAGGCCUCCUGGUCGAGGCACGUCUGCCUGGGUGUCA